This 274-nucleotide ribosomal RNA is filed under the name uncultured bacterium. RNAcentral's name for it is "partial 16S ribosomal RNA". It matches the Rfam family "Bacterial small subunit ribosomal RNA", at positions 523 to 796 of the family's 1533-position model. The record is from RNAcentral.
CUACGGAGGGUGCAAGCGUUGUUCGGAAUUAUUGGGCGUAAAGAGCAUGUAGGCGGACUAUUAAGUCUGGUGUGAAAGCCCGGGGCUCAACCCCGGAAGUGCAUUGGAUACUGGUAGUCUUGAGUAUGGGAGAGGAAAGUGGAAUUCCGAGUGUAGGAGUGAAAUCCGUAGAUAUUCGGAGGAACACCAGUGGCGAAGGCGGCUUUCUGGACCAAUACUGACGCUGAGAUGCGAAAGCGUGGGGAGCGAACAGGAUUAGAAACCCUAGUAGUCC